RNAcentral lists this ribosomal RNA (505 nucleotides) under uncultured bacterium. RNAcentral describes it as "partial 16S ribosomal RNA". It matches the Rfam family "Bacterial small subunit ribosomal RNA", at positions 28 to 507 of the family's 1533-position model. The record is from RNAcentral.
GACGAACGCUGGCGGCGUGCCUAAUACAUGCAAGUAGAACGCACAGUUUAUACCGUAGCUUGCUACACCAUAGACUGUGAGUUGCGAACGGGUGAGUAACGCGUAGGUAACCUGCCUGGUAGCGGGGGAUAACUAUUGGAAACGAUAGCUAAUACCGCAUAAUAUUGAUUAUUGCAUGAUAAUUAAUUGAAAGGUGCAAUUGCACCACUACCAGAUGGACCUGCGUUGUAUUAGCUAGUAGGUGAGGUAACGGCUCACCUAGGCGACGAUACAUAGCCGACCUGAGAGGGUGAUCGGCCACACUGGGACUGAGACACGGCCCAGACUCCUACGGGAGGCAGCAGUAGGGAAUCUUCGGCAAUGGACGAAAGUCUGACCGAGCAACGCCGCGUGAGUGCAGAAGGUUGUCGGAUCGUAAAGCUCUGUUGUAAGAGAAGAACGGGUGUGAGAGUGGAAAGUUCACACUGUGACGGUAUCUUACCAGAAAGGGACGGCUAACUACGUG